Molecule: ribosomal RNA, 439 nt
Filed under: Bacillus cereus
Lineage: Bacteria; Bacillati; Bacillota; Bacilli; Caryophanales; Bacillaceae
Description: bacterial SSU rRNA
Rfam family: Bacterial small subunit ribosomal RNA
Source: RNAcentral
GUGUCGUGAGAUGGUGGGUUAAAUCCCGCAACGAGCGCAACCCUUGAUUUUAGUUUCCAUCAUUAAGUUGGGCACUUUAAGGUGACUGCCGGUGACAAACCGGAGGAAGGUGGGGAUGACGUCAAAUCAUCAAGCCCCUUAUGACCUGGGCUACACACGUGCUACAAUGGACGGUACAAAGAGCUGCAAGACCGCGAGGUGGAGCUAAUCUCAUAAAACCGUUUUCAGUUCGGAUUGUAGGCUGCAACUUGCCUACAUGAAGCUGGAAUCGCUAGUAAUCGCGGAUCAGCAUGCCGCGGUGAAUACGUUCCCGGGCCUUGUACACACCGCCCGUCACACCCCGAGAGUUUGUAACACCCGAAGUCGGGGGGGUAACCUUUUUGGAGCCAGCCGCCUAAGGUGGGACAGAUGAUUGGGGGAAGUCGAACAAGAUGCAGGG